AUAAUUUUCUCUUCUUCUUCCUCACGUAUCCACCGCUCUUCUCCAUUUUAGAAAAAAAAACAGCAAAAAGCCGACAUCUCCUCCUCCAAACUCAGAUGACAUCUUCUCCUCAUCUCCAGGCCUCUAGCGAGUGUUUUUCAUAAUACAUUGUUAUCCCAAACUCUUACUUAAACCUCCACCGCUACUUCCACUACUUAGCUAUCAACAAAUCAAGAUAAACACCUGUCUUACUUUUAAUUUUAUAGUUUUCUUUGUUAAUUUGUGAUUAUUUUAUUUUAUUUUAGUUUUGAUUAGAUUAUUGUUUGUGUGAUAUAUUAAGUAUUGUUUGAAUUGAGAUA
Molecule: long non-coding RNA, 338 nt
Filed under: Populus trichocarpa (black cottonwood)
Lineage: Eukaryota; Viridiplantae; Streptophyta; Magnoliopsida; Malpighiales; Salicaceae
Description: long non-coding RNA (PTRI_LNC003075)
Source: RNAcentral